This 331-nucleotide small nuclear RNA is filed under the name Spermophilus dauricus (Daurian ground squirrel). RNAcentral's name for it is "7SK RNA (ENSSDAG00000004048.1)". The stretch from base 1 to 281 matches the Rfam family "7SK RNA". Rfam says of the family: 7SK was discovered as an abundant small nuclear RNA in the mid-70s but a possible function has only recently been suggested. Two independent studies have found that 7SK RNA binds the CDK9/cyclin T complex (known as elongation factor P-TEFb). The record is from RNAcentral. Lineage: Eukaryota; Metazoa; Chordata; Mammalia; Rodentia; Sciuridae.
GGAUGUGAGGACCACCUGGCUGCAACAUCUGUCACUCCAUUGAUAGCCAGGGUUGAUUCAACUGAUCUGCCUGGCAAGGAGUGUCACCUCCUUCACCACUCAACGUAUGUCCCUCCUGACAUUUCAUCCUUCCUCAAAGAGGACAACCUUCCCCAAUAGAGGAGGACAAUUUGGUCAAGAGUAUAUAAGUAGCUGCACUCCCCUGCUAGAACCUCCAAACAAGCUUUCAAGAAUGUCCAAAAUGCUGGGCACAGUGGUGCAUGCAUGUAAUCCCAGUAACUCAGGAGGCUGAGGCAGAAGGAUUACAAGUUCAAAACCAGCCUCAGCAACU